This 429-nucleotide ribosomal RNA is filed under the name Chloroflexota bacterium. Its description in RNAcentral is "Chloroflexi bacterium partial 16S ribosomal RNA". It matches the Rfam family "Bacterial small subunit ribosomal RNA", at positions 355 to 776 of the family's 1533-position model. The record is from RNAcentral. Lineage: Bacteria; Bacillati; Chloroflexota.
UGGGGAUUAUUGCACAAUGGGCGCAAGCCUGAUGCAGCCAUGCCGCGUGUGUGAAGAAGGCCUUCGGGUUGUAAAGCACUUUCAGCGGGGAGGAAGGCGUUAAGGUUAAUAACCUUGGCGAUUGACGUUACCCGCAGAAGAAGCACCGGCUAACUCCGUGCCAGCAGCCGCGGUAAUACGGAGGGUGCAAGCGUUAAUCGGAAUUACUGGGCGUAAAGCGCACGCAGGCGGUCUGUCAAGUCGGAAGUGAAAUCCCCAGGCUCAACCUGGGAACUGCAUUCGAAACUAGCAGGCUAGAGUCUUGUAGGGGAGGGUAGAAUUCCAGGUGUAGCGGUGAAAUGCGUAGAGGUCUGGAGGAAUACCGGUGGCGAAGGCGGCCCCCUGGACAAAAACUGACGCUCAGGUGCGAAAGCGUGGGGAGCAAACAGG